AGCAGCGUGGCUCAGUGGAAAGAGCAUGGGCUUGGGAGUCAGAGGUCAUGGGUUCGAAUCCCAGCUCUGCCA
Non-coding RNA from Ornithorhynchus anatinus (platypus), 72 nucleotides. NCBI's taxonomy places the organism in Eukaryota, Metazoa, Chordata, Mammalia, Monotremata, Ornithorhynchidae. The record is from Rfam.